UAGGGAAUCUUCGGCAAUGGACGGAAGUCUGACCGAGCAACGCCGCGUGAGUGAAGAAGGUUUUCGGAUCGUAAAGCUCUGUUGUAAGAGAAGAACGAGUGUGAGAGUGGAAAGUUCACACUGUGACGGUAUCUUACCAGAAAGGGACGGCUAACUACGUGCCAGCAGCCGCGGUAAUACGUAGGUCCCGAGCGUUAUCCGGAUUUAUUGGGCGUAAAGCGAGCGCAGGCGGUUAGAUAAGUCUGAAGUUAAAGGCUGUGGCUUAACCAUAGUACGCUUUGGAAACUGUUUAACUUGAGUGCAAGAGGGGAGAGUGGAAUUCCAUGUGUAGCGGUGAAAUGCGUAGAUAUAUGGAGGAACACCGGUGGCGAAAGCGGCUCUCUGGCUUGUAACUGACGCUGAGGCUCGAAAGCGUGGGGAGCAAACAGGAUUAGAUACCCUGGUAGUCCACGCCGUAAACGAUGAGUGCUAGGUGUUAGACCCUUUCCGGGGUUUAGUGCCGUAGCUAACGCAUUAAGCACUCCGCCUGGGGAGUACGACCGCAAGGUU
RNAcentral lists this ribosomal RNA (549 nucleotides) under uncultured bacterium. RNAcentral describes it as "bacterial SSU rRNA". It matches the Rfam family "Bacterial small subunit ribosomal RNA", at positions 355 to 895 of the family's 1533-position model. The record is from RNAcentral.